This is a long non-coding RNA of Neopsephotus bourkii (Bourke's parrot), 2738 nucleotides long. RefSeq lists it as uncharacterized. Lineage: Eukaryota; Metazoa; Chordata; Aves; Psittaciformes; Psittacidae. The transcript has 3 exons. The record is from RefSeq and is a predicted model, not a curated record.
UAUCAAUAAAUCGAUAUAUGUAUUAAUUUGAUAAAAAUCUAGAGUCAAAUUGUUCAGUCAAAGUCAGUGCUAGAGAAACAUGUAGCAUCAUGUCAUUUUCUAGGACACAAGCAGCCCUAAGUUAUAAACAAAUAGAAAAUGGGAAUGAUAUUCUGUCUGAAAAAGAAGACAGUUUGAAGGAAAGUAUCCACCUGUAAGCAUCCAAAUUGAUUCUGAGAGGGGAGGUUUGAUUAUAUUUUAGCCUGACUGAAUGGAAACACAUGGUUGGUCAAAUGACCAUAAAGGUGUAGGGAGUCUUCCUACCAGCUCUGAAAGGGAAACCCAUUAAAUUCUCAAGGGUGUAGACAGAAGCUUGAGUACAUCUCACAGCAACCUUCAGUCCGACUGAGUUGAAAUUAGCAUUGCACAUUAGGUUAAGAACUUGACACUUUCCAAACAAAAAGGAAUUGAAAGACUAAUAUACCUUUGUAUUUUCUGUCUGCUACAGAGGAUAGGUGAUAAUCAUAACAACAUUUUAAAAUAGAGACAGAGCAGCUGUGGGACACAGCAGAGAAGGGAAAUGGUCUUUUAGUGAAGGUGUAUCACCAAUUUCCCCAAAGCUACCUCUUCCCUAUAGAACCUCUCAGUUCUUGGUUUGAAACAGGGAAGACUUUCAACUUUCAAAAUGCAUAAAAAUAUUAAUUCUGGGCUUUAUGUGACUCAUUCCUAUAUGCUUUUGUCAUCAAAACUGCAACUCCUUGAUACAGUUAAAUAUAGUUAUAUUUAUGAAAACUUGUGAAGAAGACCACAUAUGAGGCCACAUACUUCCCUGAGUGAGAAACGGGCUUGCUCUUCUAUCUGUUGCAGCUUCGCCACCAUGCAUUCAUGGAUAUUUGAGGUCAAUCUGUCAGGAUUCAUAAGGUUAUCCAGAGACAAGAAGGUUUGAGGAUGCUCAAGGUGGCUGGAAAUGCCAUCCACAAGCUGCUCCACACACAGAAGAAACACCUGCCUCCCAGAGCAUCAGCUGUCAGCCUGGACUCAAAACAACUUCUUUUGAAAUCAGAGAGUCUAAAGUAGGAGAAAGCUGAUGUCUUUUAAGACCAGUUGCAUCUGCAUGACUCAACAAGGGAAAAGACCUCAUUUCUGGCAAAAUAGUCCUGAUGAGGUUUUGACUCCCAAGGAAGUUGCAUCAACAGAAAGCAGACUACAUGCAAGGCAAAGCUGGACAACGCAGUUCCUCUCUUAUUUUGCACUUUAGGUGAGUUGAAAACUCUAUGUUUCUGAAGCAAUGACAGGAUAUUCCAUGAAUACGCAGUUGCAAAGCAGUAAAUGCUGUAGCAAGCUUUGGCACCCUGUUCUGAAGACCACUAUGGCAAACACACAAAACCCCAUUACCAGCACUGCUCAGAAUUGUUGCUCCAAAUGAGAACUCUGAGACAACUCAUACACAAUGGGUCCCCCCAGCCAUCACUGCUUGCUCCCAGAACUGCAUGGGGCUGGAUGCCAGAGAAGCAUACCUGGGUACCACAAAGUAUUUUGAAGGACUUCUUUUCUUUGCGCUGUAUCUUGUUGUGUCAGUCAGUUUGCUUUGCUGUAUCCCAAGCUACACGACAGAGAUCAUGGGCUGCCCAGACAGCAUUUGGAGACAUAAAACAUCUCUGCAGUUUUUAAGAAAAAAAGGUGCCGUGCCUAUUCCAAAACAAGGAUUUUGCAGGUUUCCAGACAGAGCCACAACCACCCUCAGCUCUGGCCUCCCAGGAGGCAGCAAACCUGCUUGCGCUGAGAUGGUGCUGUCCCCCUAGUACAUCCCCAGCUAUUGGGGGCACUGUAGGUACCCCAGGGUGGGGUUCCUCAAGUGGGCUGCACUGUAGGGGUGUCAGGAAAUGAGAGGAAUGGGAUCUCUUACUCUCACUGUCGGACAGCUUCCGCUUCAUUUCUACUCACCAGGAGAGAAAAUACAUUAUCACAGCCCACCGGGUGCAAGCCAUCACUGGCAGGCUGUUGUGAGGAAGUUAGGGUUUAACAUCCCAGCACUGGAAUUUCCCAGAAGGAGGAAAAACAGCUUUGCUCAGCUCUGAGGAAAAGCUUCUUCAAAAGAGGCUGAGCAAAGGGACACUGUGUCAGUGGGCUUCAGUGCGGGAAAGGUCCAUCAAACCUUGUCUUGCCUCACUGAGAGGAAUGCAUGGACACAUGUCUCAUGUCUAGGUCUAACUAGUGCUGAUAAAGUACUUGCUUUCUUUCUGUUUUUGCUGCUGUUGAGAGGGUGUCUUUUGUUGGGUUUUCUUAAUGGAAGGGAAACAUUCCUGGGAAUGGGACCAAGUCAUUGCAGAACCAGACAGUUUUUUUCCUGAAUGGAGGUGCAAAACAGUGUGCUGGGGUGCAGAGAUACAUAUUUAAGUGCUUGUUGUACCAAAAAAAAAGUAAUUGUAUUUUAAGAGUUGGGCAAGAAUCUGAGCAGGAAAUGAAGCAGAUCAUUAUCAUAUGCCAUAAAAUAUCGAGAUUUUUGUGAUUGUUCCAAGAAAGACAAUGCCAGGAUAUGUUUGGUACAGGUAGUUCAGGCUUCACAUUCAGCUGCUGCCUCCUUCUGUCUCUGAUGACAUGAAACAUUUCAGACACGACAGUGCAUUUCAGAAACAUAAAGCCAGUCCAUUCCAAAUCCUUGUUUUCAGUUAUUCAAGGCUUCAGAACUUGUUCCUUCAGUGCAGGUACUUCUCUUGACUUACCACCUAUCAAAGCUCCAUAUUUUUUAAAAAAUAGGC